UUAAUUUCAUUGAUUCUUUCAAAUAUUUUGAGCGACGAUGCUGGAGAUGAUAAACGUAUUGGCAAAAUCAAAAUAUUAGUUUUGAGUAUAUGAAACAGCUUAAAAAUACUUGUACUCUAAAGGCAUAGAUGGGUGCAACCACCUAACUGUUCUAAGACAGCCUCAAUUUGAUCGCCAUCUUCCAUAUCAAGCUAAAUGUAUAGUUAGUACCGGCUUUUGUUGUAAAAGUUUAAAACUUACCUCAGCAGGUGUUUGAUCUGGACGAAUACGUUCCCCAUCAACAAGGAAACGUAAGCUGUUCAUACUUUUUCCUUGUCGUGCACAAUAAAUCUUCAUUAACUUGCUGAACUCAGUGGUCUUUUUAAUUUUGAAAAAUACUUCGUUGUUAUCCUACAUCAAGUUAGCUUCACGAUUCGUGCAUUAAAGACUUUUGAAAGCAAAAGAUGACAGGAAUAGCAUGAAAGUCUCUUGCUGUAGCACACACCUGUCCGACAACUUUCAAAUUGAUAUGCUCUGUGGAUGGUUUGACAUCUUGUUGCGAAGUGUCACCUGUGGUAGGAGUGAUAGCACUUUUGUCAGCAUCAGAAAUGUUUGCUGAUGGUGAUUCAGACAUUUUUUCUCAGAUACUAUAUAAAAUCGAAUAUACAGGUACAGGGGGGUACAAUCAAAUUCUCAUAGAUCAGGAAUGACUGUUGUGAUUGUUUGAAGCAAGAAUAGCGUAAUGUGGUAUAUAAUAUAACGU
Non-coding RNA from Schizosaccharomyces pombe (fission yeast), 742 nucleotides. The record is from the annotation of a GenBank genome assembly. Lineage: Eukaryota; Fungi; Ascomycota; Schizosaccharomycetes; Schizosaccharomycetales; Schizosaccharomycetaceae.